CUCCAGAAGUUACUGAAUCCUUACACUGGACGUGUCCCAGGCCAUGAACAAACACCUUGCUCAGUCAAGGAGCACGGCCUGUAGCACUCUUCCCACCUCCAUCAUCUCCUGACACUUUUUACUUUCCCCUUUUAUCCAGCUCAUGCACAAUUAGGCAAUGGUCCAACCUUGGAGCACUGGCAAGAGAACAGUAAGGGUGGUAAUUUCUGACUGGUGGGAGGUGACAAAAAGGUGGAGGUGGUAACCUCUUUGGUGGUACAGAUGGAUGCAGACAAGGAUGUCAGUCCACUGCUGUAAUAUGCACUGAAUACACUCAGAGGCACAUUCAGGUUCUUAUAUACAAAGGAAACUCUGCAUCCAAAUAAUUUUUUUUCUAUUGUUACAGAAGUUUAUUUAAAAAAAAAAAAAAAAAAGUGGUUUUUAACCUGCAAAGUGAAUUUAUAUAUAGUGAAAAGAAAGAUGCCUUCUGGAAUAACCUUUAACUACUGUUCUGUACAAGAUUUCCUCCCAUUUUGUGUCUUUAAGUCUUCGCAUAUGAAUAGCAGUUCCACUUUCUUUGCCCUACAAAAUAUGACAGAUUCUAGACAAAACAUGCCAACUUAAGUCAGAAGCAUGAGUUGUAGUGUUAUGUGCACCACCUAUGCACAAUAUGGUAAAGCAGCUUUUGACCAUCUUGAGCAGUUAAGAGGAUAAUGCAGAAAGGUAAUCUCCACAUUUACACACUCAGGUUUCCGUUUCUCCAGUUCCUGCUGUGUCCCCACGUCCCAGAGAACCGUAGGUAGGAGAUUUUGAUCUGCAGUGGCAGCCAGCUGUUGCUGUAUCCCAUGGAGUGCCCCUGCCCAGAAUAUUACAGGACUGAGCCCACAGUUCAGCCUUGCCCCCUUCUGUGCCCUCACACAGCUACUUGAUGCCUUUGUGUCACAUCUCCACUUUGCACAGAAGGGCUGGGACAAUCUGCCACUCUGACGUGGUUCUAGUGCUGUUUGUAGCCUUGCCAUGUUCAGCAAGGGCAGCUGUUCACCAAGAAGCAGAACUGGCUCUCUGGCUGUUCAGCUGAGCCACUGAUCUCUUUUCUGGGUUGGUGAAUGUGAGAUGGCCAUUUCUGGAUUGAUAACAAGCUGUUCCUUCCCCCCCCACUGCAUUCAUGAGACUUUUUGGCUGUGCUGUGCUCUCAAGCAUCAGAGAGGAAUGUGCUUCCAGCUGUCUUUCAAGAAUCUCAUUAGGUUUUCCCAGUCAAUUCUAUGAAGUUUCACAUUGGUGCCCAAAUACAAUUGGUUUGUAACUAUUUGGAGAAUUUUUAACUUCUGAGCCUACAUAACUCUGUGCUAGUCAAAUGAACACAGAGAUUAUAAAAUCAGUUUUCCAGGCACUUUCAAAGAUGUUUUUUUCUUAUGCUAAUAGAAAAAUAAGAAAAGGUUUAAGUGGGCUGUGUUAUUUUUCACAGAACAAUCUUGAGCAAAUUAAAAUGUAAAUUUUUAUACAAUCACUGCUUUUGGGUGACAAAUCUUUUGCUUAAGCCUUUAGAUGCAUCCUGCCUCUGUUUGAUUUUCACAUUUGAAGGCUUCAGAAGAACUUGCCUGAUCAGUUCUGUGAUCUCUUUUCUUAUUUCUUAUGCUGACUUAUCCAAUUUCUGCAAGAGUUUUUAUCUUGCUAAGCCAACAGUGAACUGAUCCAGUAGAAAGAAAAAAUAAUUCUCACAUGUUGGGUGAGUGAACUGAAUCAAAGGAGGGCAAGAGCCAUGGCUGGACUGCUCAGGUAUGGGGAAUUAGGUCCUCUGAAUUCUCCAUUAUCACCUCCAGGGAUGCACAGCUCUCAGGACCAGGUCUGGGCCCUGCUUUGGGAGCAGGGGUUCCACCCUCACCAACACUGCCCACACCUCAGUAAAACCUUCCUAACCUCAGAGGGACACAUACCUAAAGACCCCAGAAGUGAGGCCUAAGGACAUGAAAAGGACAAAAUAUGGAAAACAACCUCAACUCUUCAGUUUGCUUCAUGUCACUCUACAACUGCUAAACAAAAACCAUGUAAAUAAAAAAUAAACCAACUGAAAGUGAAUGUUAAAAUUUUCUUCAAUCUGACAUACUGUUCUCAGAAUUCAAACACCCACGACUACAGGAACUGAAACAACACAUCUGACCAGAGACACUGUAAAUAUCUGGUCAGAGAUACAUCAAUACUGAGUAACCUAGAAAAAAAUUAACAUUCAUCCAGGAAAUUAGUGGUUGACUUACGUCCUGGAGCAUUUUGAAGGUUAUCCAAACUACUGCAGCUGUUCUGUUAGCAUGUCCUUCAUCUGCAUUAAGAACCAUGCUCUGGACCUGGAAAAAGUGUUCAGCAAUGCAUGGAUGCACAGCAAAGAUUUAAAAUUGGAUCUUUUCUGUAUAUUGUCUCUGAAUAUUAAACACUUGAACCUUCUAAGACAAAUGCCCAAAGUAAUAUUUCAUUCAUAAUAAAUGCUGUAAUGAUGAGGGAAAUGUCAUAUGAUUUAUCAAGUACAUAAAGCAUUGUAGUAUUUAUAAAUAGUAUUUAACAACGAUUAAUAGAUUUUUUUAUAAAUAUAUAGAUGUUUCUCCCUGUGUAUGCACUUUAGACAACACUAUGUAAGAUAAUUAUAUAAAUCACAUAGCUAUAAUGGACAAUUAGGAACCCAAUUAUACUCCAACAUAUCAUUAUACUAUUAUAUAGUACUAAUUUACUGCCCUCUAAUACAUAUUUACUGCUACUGGUUUCCAGACUUUUGAGCUUGGAAUACCUUAAAAAUCUGCAAUUUUUUAAGUUACCAGGAAAAAACCCAAGUAUUUCUUUCUCUCCCCAACCCAAAUUUGGAAUUUUGCACCCAAACCUCAAAUACUACCAGAGGCCCAGAAACUAAAUUCUCACUGUCACUGCAGUAACAGGUUAAAAUUGCAGCACUGUGUGCCCUUGCAGUGCUGCCAAGAGGCAGCUUUAUCUCGCUUGAAAUUGAGAUUUAAGGCUUUGAGUGAGAUACAAAUCACCUGCCCAGCCAUCUAACUCACUGGACCUCAGCAUCAUGACUUUUAAAAUGCAGUUUUAAUAAUUUUAUACAUAUUUUCUCUAGGACUGGAAUCACAGUGUGCAAAGGUGUCUGGUCUUACCAGUUAAAAGGAUAAAACUCCUAAAAAAAGUUUUGUAUGCUGUUAAUAUUUCUAAUACCAUUUUGCAUUGUCCCAUGCAUAAAAUAUUAAGUAUUCCAGAAAAUAAUAUCUUCCAAAAUAGUUGUCUCAGGACUCCUGGAAAAGCCUGAAGAGCUCAGCAACAUCUUAGACAAUUUUGAUAAUGGCUCACCCCAAACUUAGACUAUCAAAUCUUUGUAGGACACCAUUGCAUGGCCCUUUUUACUAAAAGAGAGUGUUGUACUGGAGUAUUAGACAAAUGUGCUGAAAAAUGUUUCGUGAACUAUGGCUCAAGUGAUGGCAGCUGCUAUAAUCUGCACUCAGUUCACCUCUACAAGGAAAAUUACAACAAAAAUUGCACGACAGCAUUAAUAAAAAUUCCAAGAUUGGUUCUAUAUGCAGAAUCUACCUUAAAAUACGUCCACAGUGAAUGUUCCUUCCUCUUAUAGUCUGAUACGAGGAUCAAAUUCCUUCAAUGUUCAAUGAGAAGUCCAAUUUCUAGACAUAGUUGCAUGGAAAUAACUUCUGUAAACAGGGUGCGCUGCAAAGGUUUUAGAAGAAAUACCUACAGGCAUCCACUAUGAAAGAUCAGUUUGGAGAAAUUCAGGAUACACAUAAAAUGAUCAAAGCCUUUUAAUACCGUAUCAGUGAAACCAUCAAACUCUUGCUUAAAUGAACACACCUAGUGAUUGUCAAAGCAAAAAGUCCUUAUGUGCUGCAAAAACAGGAUUUCCCCUCAGUUAUUUUGGCUUAACUGAGGCUUUCAGAC
This is a long non-coding RNA of Corapipo altera (White-ruffed manakin), 3903 nucleotides long. RefSeq lists it as uncharacterized. The transcript is spliced from 2 exons. The record is from RefSeq and is a predicted model, not a curated record. Lineage: Eukaryota; Metazoa; Chordata; Aves; Passeriformes; Pipridae.